Long non-coding RNA from Lates calcarifer (barramundi perch), 1719 nucleotides. RefSeq lists it as uncharacterized. Lineage: Eukaryota; Metazoa; Chordata; Actinopteri; Centropomidae. The transcript is spliced from 3 exons. The record is from RefSeq and is a predicted model, not a curated record.
UACGAGUUGUUGUCCUUGAUGGGGUUCAUGGUGACCCAAGAUGGACAGCAAUCGAACGAUGUUUUGCCCGUUUUGUGGACAACAUAUGAGGCGCUUAACGCGGUUUUGUUUUUCGGUUGGUCGGUCUUUAGAGUGUUUAAGGGGCAUGGACGAGGUCGACGGACCAGAUAUGCUGCAGCACUGCAUAGAAUGUUUUAAUGAGACACUCGUACGCUGUAAUCGUGGACAUGAUGUCAUGUUUACACGGUGGUCACAUCAGCUCGAGGUCUCUGAAAAGCAAACUGAAUGGAGCCGGGUUAUAUGGCAGAAAGGAUUACUCCUCUACAAACGCCAUAAUUAGGGCCAUCCGACUGGAACUUCGUGGACCUGGACAGCUGUUUGGCUCCCGCACGAUGUGGCAGGUACUCAAAUAAAUGUACAAUCUGCGAGUGAAGAGGGAUCGCGUGAUGAAUUUGCUCCGGGAGUCAAUCCUCGAGGGUGCGAGCGGAGAGCACGCAGAAGGUUUAUCAGAGGACCCUUAACUUAAGCCAUUUGGUUUGGCUCUUUCCGGCUGAUUUUCACGUAAAGUGCUGUGGCUUGCAUGUGGACCAACAAAUAAUGACCCAGGUGUGAUCGCUCACUAUUUUCUGUCAUGUGUGCGAAACCUCGGUGUCAUUCCCAUGAGACUGAGGACUGAUUGUGGCACGGAGAACAGGACCAUGACCGCAAUUCAGUGCACCCUACGGCACCACCACAAUGACCACUACUCUGGAGCGUCCAGCCACAUGUAUGGCUCAUCCACAAACAACCAGAGGAUUGAGUCCUGGUGGUCCAUAUUCAGAAAGGGAAGAUUGCUAUAGGAGUCAGUUCUGGAUGGAGCUAUUUGCAGACCUUAGAGAUGCCGGAUACUUCAACGGGAGUCAUGAACAUCAGUGUCUACUGAGAUAUUGCUUUGGUGAUGUUAUUCAGAAGGACUUGGAUGAGUGUGUUAGAUUGUGGAACAAUGACAGGAUUCGCCCCUCCAGAACAGCAUCAUGUCCAGGAGGAGUGCCCAGUGAGCUCGACUACUUACCACACAGGUUUGGCUCCAGAGACUGUGGAUUUAAAAUUGAAGAGGCUGAACUGGAUGUCUUUCCCAAGGCUCGCCUGACAAGAGCUCCAUGUGGGGACGCAAACGUGCAGGAGUACUUGGACUUAGCCUUGGAGAACAAUCAGUUUCAGAAGCCAGAGUACUGGCAGUCUGCAACUGAACUGUAUAUAUAUAUGAAUAAAAAUAAAGCAAAGAAUGAGCAUUUAUUACAUUUUUUUAAUAGAUAACAAAAUCUCUUGAAAUACAUUCCCUUUCCGGGAAAUGGGUUAUUGGGUUUCAAAGCGUAAGUCCCUACUAACCAACCAAACCAAAGCCACAAAACACUUCCAAACCACUGUGGUGUUUCAGUGUUUAUGAAGAAGAAUUCUACAUAUUAUGGCUACUAAAUGUUAAGUCUGUGGUUAAACAGGCUUUCUGUUAGAUGGUAUUUUUUGUUAUAUAAUCAUACAAGACGUUGGUCGAGAGGCACUGAACACCCUGGACAAUCAAUCAGGCUUAGGCCCUGACAAACAGCAGACCUGGUCAUAAAUGAACAAUGGCUCAUAACAGUUCAUUUAUUAAUGAACUGCUCUAAGAAAAGUUCAGUUUUGUGAUGAUCCUGUACAUGUGUAAAUAAAGACACUUUAAUUCAGCCAUCAAGCUUCUCUGCU